This 531-nucleotide ribosomal RNA is filed under the name uncultured bacterium. Its description in RNAcentral is "bacterial SSU rRNA". It matches the Rfam family "Bacterial small subunit ribosomal RNA", at positions 26 to 518 of the family's 1533-position model. The record is from RNAcentral.
UUAGUGGCUCGAGGACGAACGCUGGCGGCGUGCCUAAUACAUGCAAGUCGAACGGUCUUUCUAUGGAAGCUUGCUUCCACUGAGAAGAUAGUGGCGAACGGGUGAGUAACACGUGGGUAACCUGCCCAUAAGAGGGGGGAUAACAUCCGGAAACGGGUGCUAAUACCGCAUAGUUUUCUUGAUCGCAUGAUCGGGAAGGGAAAGACGGCCUUUGUGCUGUCGCUUAUGGAUGGACCCGCGGCGUAUUAGUUAGUUGGUGAGGUAACGGCUCACCAAGACGAUGAUACGUAGCCGACCUGAGAGGGUGAUCGGCCACAUUGGGACUGAGACACGGCCCAAACUCCUACGGGAGGCAGCAGUAGGGAAUCUUCCGCAAUGGACGAAAGUCUGACGGAGCAACGCCGCGUGAGUGAAGAAAGGUUUUCGGAUCGUAAAACUCUGUUGUCAGAGAAGAACAAGUUGGAGAGUAACUGCUCCAGCCUUGACGGUAUCUGACCAGAAAGCCACGGCUAACUACGUGCCAGCCGCCGC